Molecule: long non-coding RNA, 224 nt
Filed under: Gossypium raimondii (Peruvian cotton)
Lineage: Eukaryota; Viridiplantae; Streptophyta; Magnoliopsida; Malvales; Malvaceae
Description: long non-coding RNA (GRAI_LNC007404)
Source: RNAcentral
AAAGAUGUGGCGUAUAAAAUGGAUUCACUAAUUGGAAACGAAAAUUUUUUUUUAAUAACGUGAAAUUUCACCAAAAGGGAUAUUAAAGAGUGUAGAAUGUGAUUUUGGAAAAAUUUCUAUUGAAGUGUCUCCAGACUCUUUUUUUUUACGGAUCUUUCACGUCUUUUAGUCCGCACCUAGACCGUAUGCAAUUUUUUUUUCAAAUUUUUUUUCUUUUCGAUUUU